Molecule: long non-coding RNA, 145 nt
Organism: Amblyraja radiata (thorny skate)
Lineage: Eukaryota; Metazoa; Chordata; Chondrichthyes; Rajiformes; Rajidae
Exons: 2
Source: RefSeq, a predicted model, not a curated record
GAGGGGAGAGAGAAAGGGAGGAAGAGAAAAUACCAACUGAUAAGAUGCUUUUGAAAUGUGUCUACUAAUUGAUAAGAGACAAGCUCAGACUCGUCCUGUGGUAAUGUGUAUUGACUGCAUCUUGUGACCAUGACCAAGAUCUUUG